UUUGACCAGGACCACGGCUGAAGAACAUACACCAAGAGACGCCUGUCUCCAGAAGCACAGAGAACUGUGCCGGCAUGCAGGCUCACCAAAGAAAGGGCUUCUGUGAGAGAGGACAGGAGAGAAGACCUGGGGGAAAGCCAUGUCUGUGUUAGAUGAAGAGAGGACAACAGCAGACCAAGGAGAAGCAAGACUGCCUUGGGUGUAAGCCAUGUCCUUGGAAGCAAGAGAAUAUUCCUGUGGCAAAAUUCAAACUUAGGAUGACUCCCUCCCAAAACACACAUGCGCCUGGAAAAAAAUGUGAAAGAAAGAAAAUCCUUAUAGUGAAAAAAAAAUUAAGUGAUUUAUGAAAAAACUGAAUAGAAAAGUUGUUAGAAUAAUUUAUUAUUUAUCAGUAAUAAUAAAUGGGGAAAUCUCACUCUUCCUUCAUCACGGCUCCUCCCAGACUCUAGCUACUUAGCUAAGUAGGGCAGAGGGGAAGGAGAGCCUGAGGUAGCUAGGAAAAUAUUAAGGGAAAAAAAUUUGUGAAAAUAAUUUUAAAGCCCUUCUGUUUUCCAACAAGGGGCAUAUCUGUCCCCGGAGCCUUGCAGCUGUGCCUCGCACCGAGCAAGCCAUUAGGUUUACAGCUCCCAGAAAAUAGCUUCGCACAGCUCUGAUUGCACGGGGCCCUCUGGGGUCUGCUGCAGGUUUGGUUUAGUUUCAUGGUGAUUUUAUAUUUCCUGUUCAAGUCUUUAUUAGUUCCAUAUAGAUACAUAAGCACGAGGGGUCAAGGGGGAGGCAGAAAUGCAAGACGACAGAAUGGAAGCGCUAAACUACCGACAGGAAUUUAAGGAAACAAGCGUGCGUGCCUGCCUGUGCGCUGGAGACCCUGAUUUGAUUCCUGGGUUGGGAAGAUCCCCUGGAGAAGGG
Molecule: long non-coding RNA, 906 nt
Filed under: Bos taurus (domestic cattle)
Lineage: Eukaryota; Metazoa; Chordata; Mammalia; Artiodactyla; Bovidae
Description: long non-coding RNA NONBTAT001658
Source: RNAcentral